Long non-coding RNA from Rattus rattus (black rat), 1551 nucleotides. RefSeq lists it as uncharacterized. The transcript is spliced from 3 exons. NCBI's taxonomy places the organism in Eukaryota, Metazoa, Chordata, Mammalia, Rodentia, Muridae. The record is from RefSeq and is a predicted model, not a curated record.
ACUGCCACCUAGUGACAGUCCUCUAAUGUAGGAGGGAACUGGAAUUGACCUUGGCUUGCACAACUCAUGAUCAUAAUUACCUUCUAAUUAAGGUUCAGAGCCCGACGACUUGAAGUGAGCUACAUAAGUGGGGACCUGAAUCCGUGUGUUUCUGUUCCACAGGAGAGCCCACUGUGUGAGAGCACACAUCCCUACUGUGCCUUCUAGAGGAACUGUUAGCAGGGCAGGAACACAUAAAGCCUGUUCCAGAAGUGACCACAGAAAUGUCCAUAGGCCGUGCUGUCUGACAAGGGCACAGGGAGCAAGAAGGCCCUUAUACUAGAUUCUUCAGUGGUUGUGGGGAGAGAACGAAGUGAGAGGUUCUGUGUGUUCAUGAAAUACAGCCUCCUCAAAUGAGGAAGGAGGAAGUGUUGCCUGUCUUCACAGGCCAGUGAAGUUCAAGCUUCAAGGAAGCAAGCGUUUCCUGCCGUGGUCCCAGCACCUGAGACCAUUAAGGAAGGUGAUUCUGAAUAGAACGCGUAUGCCAGCAAGCUCAGGUCUAGACCCUUCAGUCCGUGACCCAUUUGGACCUUCCCUUUAGCCAGGAGCUCAACUUUUCAUCUUGAAUUUCAGACUUAGGAUAACAGAAGGAACAUUGGUAGGGAUUAUGGCUACUUUGGGGUACCCAGAGCUCUGGGUUGGCUACAGUUAACAGUUAACUCCUUCGACCAAUCAAUAGAGUCUUCCUUCCAUCUGAGAGGCUUCUGAGAUCUAGUACUCAGUACAGACUGGAGGCUUCACCACAUAAGAAUGCUAUCCUGUUUCUGUUCAGUACAUGUGGAAAGCUCUCCACAAUUGUUUCCCAAAUAAACAAGCCGUCUUGUGCAAGCACCACUGCCCACACUGGGCUUAGGCAGCUCUCAGAGGUUUACUGUACAUUUCCUGGCUUUCUGGGCCUAUCUUUAGGGAUGGAGCCUCUGCUACUCUUUAUUCCACAUCAGGACAGACGUACUUCCAGGUCAAGCCCCAUACCAUCUUCCCAUUGGGAGGGACCAACCCUUGCUGACCUGAAUGAACGGACCGUGCACUGCACUAAAUCUCAGCCCCCGGCCUUUACUGUGGCCUGGGGCCUCAUUCACAAAGAGGCAGACGCUAUGUUUCCGUUAAGUUGUAGGAGUUUAUUUUAAAUAACCUACAGUUGAUUAAAAGGGAAUUCAUGAUAAAAAUAGAAGAUACUUGAGGAAAGAUGUGGGAAUGGACUCUGCACACACACUAAACUAACAAUGCCUCUAAAACUAAUGAUUAUAGCAAAAAAAAAGUCUUCACAUUAAAAUUUUCCUUUUUAUGGUUUUUUCCAUUUUUUACACAAUUACAAAAGAAAAAAAAAAUAAAGCCCUAAAAUCUUGAUUAUUUUUUCCUUUUUGUUUUGUUUUUGUUUUUGUUUUCCUUGGACCAAAUGCUCAUUUUCCUCUAAAUUUAUUGACCUGUGGAAGUUUUUAUACAAUAAAAUCUUUCAAAUGAAAGACUGGGGUUUCCAAAGAAAAAGAUGGAUUUCUUAAAGGGUACAAAGAA